Small nuclear RNA from Artibeus jamaicensis (Jamaican fruit-eating bat), 127 nucleotides. RefSeq annotates it as U4atac minor spliceosomal RNA. The record is from RefSeq and is a predicted model, not a curated record. Lineage: Eukaryota; Metazoa; Chordata; Mammalia; Chiroptera; Phyllostomidae. The transcript has a single exon.
ACCACCCUUUUCUCUGGUUGCACUGUUGUCCAGUGAGCAGGUAGUAUGAGUGCAGGGCUGUUAAUACCUAAAUAACACACUUGCAUCAACUAGAGCUCUGCUUUGCCUUGGUGCAAUUUUUGAAAAA